UCGACCUGAGAUCAGGCGGGAUU
Molecule: ribosomal RNA, 23 nt
Filed under: Harmothoe imbricata
Lineage: Eukaryota; Metazoa; Annelida; Polychaeta; Phyllodocida; Polynoidae
Description: partial 28S ribosomal RNA
Source: RNAcentral